UCGGUGGCCCUCCUUUGAGAAAAAAAUCUCCUGCUGUGUAUCGAUCUGAUCUUCUUCUCUCUUCUAGAGUCAUCUACUCUAAUCCCUCACACCUAAGUACCCAAAAAUCACUACGAAAAAGAGCAACAGAGCAAGAGAGUUGUGAGCAGCCAGAACAGUGUUGACGACCAUGGCUUCCAAAACAGAGCCUACCCAGAGGCUGGUCUUCUCAGACGAGUACAAAGCCACCAUCUUUGCUGCAGAACCAAGCUCAGAAGCACAACCCACAAUGCAAAAAUCUCAGAGGUGAUAGAUGGUGCGAUCUGGAUUUGAUAAUCUGUGUUUCUAUCUUUUGGUAUUGUAUCCAGUGCUCUGCGUGUUGAGUAAUUGGGCGCAUCGCAAAAGCUUGUGUUUUGCGUUUUGAUUGGAUCUAGUUUGUGACGAGACGAUUGGGUUGAGAACAAGUAGAACAGGACCUUAGUGGUUCGGCGGAGCAGAAGAAGAUGGCUUUGAGUCUGGGUUUAUUUGGGGCUGCUUACUUACAGACAUUACUCUCUAGUCUUUGCAAAACCUCAGACAUUGCAACAGAAAAAAGAAGAAGGCAAAUCAGUUUGAUCUGCAAUUUCAUAAUCUUUGCAAAACCUUGGGCAAUACAGAAGAGAAGAAGGCAUAUCAGUUUGAUCUCCAAUUUGACAAGUGAGAUGCCAUCAAGCUGUACCGUAUCGAUCAGGCUCUGAGAUACAGAGGCUGGGUUGAAAAUGAGAAUGAAAUUUCACCGUCUACGGGUACCGGGGAUUCUCACUGUUUUUGCUUCCUUCACUGGUCAAUCUAACCAGGUAAUGGUUUCCGUUCUUGAUUUGUGUUCAAAAUAUUGGUGUUUGGUGAUUGGGUUUAGGGAUUUGCUUUGUGUCCUGCAAGUAUAGGAACUUUUGAUGGGGAAAACAUUGGUCUUUUUUUUUGGGUGCUUUUCGUCGUAUAAACUGGUAUAUUGUUCUCAGUGGUUUCUUACUUCCUCUCUGUUCAAAGGUGUUGAAUCAAAUACCCAGAUUAUUAUCUUUUGGAAUUGCAUUGAGAAAAGCAAGAGAGCUCCAGAUUACUUGAUUUCAAACUUGACCGAUAUUGCUGUGAAGGAUUGGAGGGUUUUAUUUGGGUGUCCUUAUCAUUUCAUGAGUGGUGUGGUGAAGAUGGUUUCUCAAUCUUCCUUGCCUUAAUGCUUCAUGGAGUUGGUGCAGGGCUAUGUUGAUGUGGUUGGUUCCUGUAAUGGAAUGGUUCAUUUACAUAUUGUUGCGUACUUAUUAUGAACGGUGUGAGAUUACUACUACCAAAAGUUGUGCCUUUUGAAGAUUAUUGCUGGUCAGUAUCGUUGUUUCCAUGCUGGAUUUGUCAAUGCCUAAAUGGAAUGUGAUUCACAAGCAACUGCUCCAACUUUUUCGAAUCACUCAAUUGGCCUCAGCAAAACCACGCACUCUGGAGGAAGCAACUUUUUGGACAUCCGCCAUGACUAGCUAUCCAUAGGCCAACACCUUUUGAGAAUAUACACCUGCUAAUGGACAUCAUACAACUAUUUUUUUGCAAACUAUUGCAGCAGCAAUUGUAAUUGGCUCUAAACUAUGAUGACCUAUUUUUUGAACACACUACCACAACAUCUGUACUGGUGGUUAUGUUGCUAGAACAUGAUCUACUUCAUCUUUCGUUGUAAAACAGAUAUUCUUUUAUUAAUAUAAUGAUCAUGUCAACUAUAUUUUCUA
This is a long non-coding RNA of Rosa chinensis, 1727 nucleotides long. RefSeq lists it as uncharacterized. Lineage: Eukaryota; Viridiplantae; Streptophyta; Magnoliopsida; Rosales; Rosaceae. The transcript has 6 exons. The record is from RefSeq and is a predicted model, not a curated record.